This 121-nucleotide ribosomal RNA is filed under the name uncultured bacterium. RNAcentral's name for it is "partial 16S ribosomal RNA". The record is from RNAcentral.
CCCGGGCCUUGUACAACACCGGCCCGUCACACCAUAGGGAGUUGGUUUUACCCGAAGGUAGUGCCGCUAAACCGGCGAAGGAGGCGACGACGUAACCACGGUAGGGUCAGCGACUGGGGUG